UUAAGUUAGAAAGGGCGCACGGUGGAUGCCUUGACACUAGGAGUCGAUGAAGGACGGGACUAACGCCGAUAUGCUUCGGGGAGCUGUAAGUAAGCUUUGAUCCGAAGAUUUCCGAAUGGGGAAACCCACCAUACGUAAUGGUAUGGUAUCCUUAUCUGAAUACAUAGGAUAAGGAAGACAGACCCAGGGAACUGAAACAUCUAAGUACCUGGAGGAAGAGAAAGCAAAUGCGAUUUCCUGAGUAGCGGCGAGCGAAACGGAACAUAGCCCAAACCAAGAGGCUUGCCUCUUGGGGUUGUAGGACAUUCUAUACGGAGUUACAAAGGAACGAGGUAGACGAAGCGACCUGGAAAGGUCCGUCGUAGAGGGUAACAACCCCGUAGUCGAAACUUCGUUCUCUCUUGAAUGUAUCCUGAGUACGGCGGAACACGUGAAAUUCCGUCGGAAUCUGGGAGGACCAUCUCCCAAGGCUAAAUACUCCCUAGUGAUCGAUAGUGAACCAGUACCGUGAGGGAAAGGUGAAAAGCACCCCGGAAGGGGAGUGAAAGAGAUCCUGAAACCGUGUGCCUACAAAUAGUCAGAGCCCGUUAACGGGUGAUGGCGUGCCUUUUGUAGAAUGAACCGGCGAGUUACGAUCCCGUGCGAGGUUAAGCUGAAGAGGCGGAGCCGCAGCGAAAGCGAGUCUGAAUAGGGCGUUUAGUACGUGGUCGUAGACCCGAAACCAGGUGAUCUACCCAUGUCCAGGGUGAAGUUCAGGUAACACUGAAUGGAGGCCCGAACCCACGCACGUUGAAAAGUGCGGGGAUGAGGUGUGGGUAGCGGAGAAAUUCCAAUCGAACCUGGAGAUAGCUGGUUCUCCCCGAAAUAGCUUUAGGGCUAGCCUUAAGUGUAAGAGUCUUGGAGGUAGAGCACUGAUUGGACUAGGGGUCCUCAUCGGAUUACCGAAUUCAGUCAAACUCCGAAUGCCAAUGACUUAUCCUUAGGAGUCAGACUGCGAGUGAUAAGAUCCGUAGUCAAAAGGGAAACAGCCCAGACCGCCAGCUAAGGUCCCAAAGUGUGUAUUAAGUGGAAAAGGAUGUGGAGUUGCUUAGACAACUAGGAUGUUGGCUUAGAAGCAGCCACCAUUUAAAGAGUGCGUAAUAGCUCACUAGUCGAGUGACUCUGCGCCGAAAAUGUACCGGGGCUAAAUACACCACCGAAGCUGCGGAUUGAUACCAAUGGUAUCAGUGGUAGGGGAGCGUUCUAAGGACAGUGAAGUCAGACCGGAAGGACUGGUGGAGUGCUUAGAAGUGAGAAUGCCGGUAUGAGUAGCGAAAGACGGGUGAGAAUCCCGUCCACCGAAUGCCUAAGGUUUCCUGAGGAAGGCUCGUCCGCUCAGGGUUAGUCAGGACCUAAGCCGAGGCCGACAGGCGUAGGCGAUGGACAACAGGUUGAUAUUCCUGUACCACCUCUUUAUCGUUUGAGCAAUGGAGGGACGCAGAAGGAUAGAAGAAGCGUGCGAUUGGUUGUGCACGUCCAAGCAGUUAGGCUGAUAAGUAGGCAAAUCCGCUUAUCGUGAAGGCUGAGCUGUGAUGGGGAAGCUCCUUAUGGAGCGAAGUCUUUGAUUCCCCGCUGCCAAGAAAAGCUUCUAGCGAGAUAAAAGGUGCCUGUACCGCAAACCGACACAGGUAGGCGAGGAGAGAAUCCUAAGGUGUGCGAGAGAACUCUGGUUAAGGAACUCGGCAAAAUGACCCCGUAACUUCGGGAGAAGGGGUGCUUUCUUAACGGAAAGCCGCAGUGAAUAGGCCCAAGCGACUGUUUAGCAAAAACACAGCUCUCUGCGAAGCCGUAAGGCGAAGUAUAGGGGGUGACACCUGCCCGGUGCUGGAAGGUUAAGGAGAGGGGUUAGCGUAAGCGAAGCUCUGAACUGAAGCCCCAGUAAACGGCGGCCGUAACUAUAACGGUCCUAAGGUAGCGAAAUUCCUUGUCGGGUAAGUUCCGACCCGCACGAAAGGUGUAACGAUUUGGGCACUGUCUCAACCAGAGACUCGGUGAAAUUAUAGUACCUGUGAAGAUGCAGGUUACCCGCGACAGGACGGAAAGACCCCGUGGAGCUUUACUGUAGCCUGAUAUUGAAUUUUGGUACAGUUUGUACAGGAUAGGCGGGAGCCUUUGAAACCGGAGCGCUAGCUUCGGUGGAGGCGCUGGUGGGAUACCGCCCUGACUGUAUUGAAAUUCUAACCUACGGGUCUUAUCGACCCGGGAGACAGUGUCAGGUGGGCAGUUUGACUGGGGCGGUCGCCUCCUAAAGUGUAACGGAGGCGCCCAAAGGUUCCCUCAGAAUGGUUGGAAAUCAUUCGUAGAGUGCAAAGGCAUAAGGGAGCUUGACUGCGAGACCUACAAGUCGAGCAGGGACGAAAGUCGGGCUUAGUGAUCCGGUGGUUCCGCAUGGAAGGGCCAUCGCUCAACGGAUAAAAGCUACCCCGGGGAUAACAGGCUUAUCUCCCCCAAGAGUCCACAUCGACGGGGAGGUUUGGCACCUCGAUGUCGGCUCAUCGCAUCCUGGGGCUGUAGUCGGUCCCAAGGGUUGGGCUGUUCGCCCAUUAAAGCGGUACGCGAGCUGGGUUCAGAACGUCGUGAGACAGUUCGGUCCCUAUCCGUCGUGGGCGUAGGAAAUUUGAGAGGAGCUGUCCUUAGUACGAGAGGACCGGGAUGGACGCACCGCUGGUGUACCAGUUGUUCUGCCAAGGGCAUAGCUGGGUAGCUAUGUGCGGAAGGGAUAAGUGCUGAAAGCAUCUAAGCAUGAAGCCCCCUCAAGAUGAGAUUUCCCAUAGCGUAAGCUAGUAAGAUCCCUGAAAGAUGAUCAGGUUGAUAGGUUCGAGGUGGAAGCAUGGUGACAUGUGGAGCUGACGAAUACUAAUAGAUCGAGGACUUAACCAU
Molecule: ribosomal RNA, 2919 nt
Filed under: Bacillus anthracis (anthrax bacterium)
Lineage: Bacteria; Bacillati; Bacillota; Bacilli; Caryophanales; Bacillaceae
Description: 23S ribosomal RNA
Rfam family: Bacterial large subunit ribosomal RNA
Source: RNAcentral